This 329-nucleotide unclassified non-coding RNA is filed under the name soil metagenome. Its description in RNAcentral is "partial contains 5.8S ribosomal RNA, internal transcribed spacer 2, and large subunit ribosomal RNA". The stretch from base 2 to 120 matches the Rfam family "5.8S ribosomal RNA", at positions 36 to 154 of the family's 154-position model. The record is from RNAcentral.
UAUGAAGAACGCAGCGAAAUGCGAUACGUAAUGUGAAUUGCAGAAUUCAGUGAAUCAUCGAAUCUUUGAACGCACAUUGCGCCCUCUGGUAUUCCGGGGGGCAUGCCUGUUCGAGCGUCAUUAUAACCACUCAAGCUCUCGCUUGGUAUUGGAGUUCGCGAUCUCGCGGCUCCUAAAAUCAGUGGCGGUGCCUGUCGGCUCUACGCGUAGUAAUACUCCUCGCGAUUGAGUCCGGUAGGUUUACUUGCCAGCAACCCCCAAUUUUUACAGGUUGACCUCGGAUCAGGUAGGGAUACCCGCUGAACUUAAGCAUAUCAAUAAGCGGAGGA